UCUCUUACAAUAUAUUUCAAUUUCGACUUAAACUUUUGAUUAAUUUUAAUCUAAGAGAU
RNAcentral lists this transfer RNA (59 nucleotides) under Pristomyrmex punctatus. RNAcentral's name for it is "tRNA-Arg". Lineage: Eukaryota; Metazoa; Arthropoda; Insecta; Hymenoptera; Formicidae. The record is from RNAcentral.